AGAGUUUGAUCAUGGCUCAGGAUAAACGCUGGCGGCGCACAUAAGACAUGCAAGUCGAACGGAAGUCGUUAUAAAAGGAGUGAAGAUUUAUCGGAGCGAAUUUUGUAACAAAGGCUUUAGUGGCGGACUGGUGAGUAACGCGUAAGGAAUCUACCUAUUAGAGGGGAAUAACAAUGAGAAAUCAUUGCUAAUACCGCAUAUGCCAUAGGCAUCGCAUGGUGCUAGUGGGAAAGGAGAAAUCCACUAAUAGAUGAGCUUGCGUCUGAUUAGUUAGUUGGUGGGGUAACGGCCUACCAAGACGAUGAUCAGUAGCCGGACUGAGAGGUUGAACGGCCACAUUGGGACUGAGAUACGGCCCAGACUCCUACGGGAGGCAGCAGUCGGGAAUAUUGCGCAAUGGAGGAAACUCUGACGCAGUGACGCCGCGUAUAGGAAGAAGGUUUUCGGAUUGUAAACUAUUGUCGUUAGGGAAGAAAUAAAUGACAGUACCUAAGGAGGAAGCUCCGGCUAACUACGUGCCAGCAGCCGCGGUAAUACGUAGGGAGCGAGCGUUAUCCGGAUUUAUUGGGUGUAAAGGGUGCGUAGACGGGCAUGCAAGUUAGUUGUGAAAUCCCUCGGCUUAACUGAGGAACUGCAACUAAAACUGUAAGUCUUGAGUGCAGGAGAGGUAAGUGGAAUUCCUAGUGUAGCGGUGAAAUGCGUAGAUAUUAGGAGGAACACCAGUGGCGAAGGCGACUUACUGGACUGUAACUGACGUUGAGGCACGAAAGUGUGGGGAGCAAACAGGAUUAGAUACCCUG
This 800-nucleotide ribosomal RNA is filed under the name uncultured bacterium. RNAcentral describes it as "bacterial SSU rRNA". It matches the Rfam family "Bacterial small subunit ribosomal RNA", at positions 8 to 789 of the family's 1533-position model. The record is from RNAcentral.